AGAUUUCUAUUUAGAAUUAAUUAAUUAAUUAUUUAAUUAGUUAGAUAUGGACUCAAAUGGGUGGAUGUCAGGAUGGCCCAUUUCGGGAUAAUGGGAACCCUAAUGUGCCAUCACCCUAUAUAAGGCUAUGGUCCCCAAUACACCGUACGAAAGCAAACACUCUCUUCUCCCCAUCUGAAGAGAAUCAAGGCAUCAGGGUACCGGUUGAGGAAGAACCAAUCUAGCCACCAUCUCUUUGUGUUUCAGGAUCACUGCAAAGGACUUUUCACCAUGGAUCCAGGUAUUUCUAAAGAUCAUCUUGUCGAUCCUAUGAUUUUAUACAUGCUUCUAUGACUAUUUUGUUUCCGCACUAAAGUAUAUGUCAUAAUAUUGUUAAGCAUGUAUAUAUAUGUAUUUAAUCUUUAGUGAUUUAAGUCUAACAAUUGGUAUCAGAGCAGGACAUGUUUGAUCUUAUGAAUAUCUACUUUUUCGAUCAUGUUUGGUUUCCUGUCAAUUUUGCCUGAUAUUGUUUUGUGUAUACGAUAUGAUUGCCUUCGUGUAUAGUUUCUUUGAAUCUACAGAAUAGAAUAUGAUUGAGGUUUUAUUUGUUCAUAUUAUAUUUUAUUUUGCCGUUUCUGAUUUGGCUGUCGUNNNNNNNNNNNNNNNNNNNNNCAAUUUUCCUUGUGGUCUUGACAGUCUUUAAAUUUUGGUAUAUAUAUGAUAUGAUACUUAUCUAUGUGCAUAUAUACAUUUACAUAUUCUUGUUUGGUUCUCUGGAUAAAGCCUUUCUAGCUACGGUACACAUAUCUUGUUUAAAUUUAAAUUAUUUUAUUGUUUUACAAAUCAAGUUGAUCCAGUAUUGUUGUUAAAUACUGUGUUAUGUGUGUUACUGCUUUAACUUGUUUUUCAAUUGAUACUGUGGAAAAGUGACAAUUUUGAAUAUUUUGGUGAAUCGGUGCCAAAGUUUCUUUUAUUUUUUUUCCAACCGGUGGUCUUCUGCAGUUGAUUUAUUUUCAGAAAAUAAAUGAUAAAUUGAUAUAAGUCUAAUUUGUUUCACUUGGUUAUAAUUUUUUAAAAAAAAACAAAUUAACAUAUUUGAUUUGGUUUCCAAAUAUGAGGAUCAGUUACUAUUUUGUUAUCAAUUUCUUUCCAUAAAGAUACAAAUUAAUUUUGUCAAUAUUAUUGUGNNNNNNNNNNNNNNNNNNNNNNNNNNNNNNNNNNNNNNNNNNNCGGUAUCAAAUCGGAUAAUCCUUAUUUGACUUUUGAAAUAUGAAUGACUAUUUAUUUUAAUUCCAUAACUGUCGGAUCAAAUUACUAUUGUUUGGAUUCAGCAUAUUUCAAUAUGAAACCGAUUUUGUCUCUCUAAUUUGAUUUAAUUAGAUACCGUAUUCAAAUUAUUAUUUUUGGAAAAGCUAUCGGUGGAUAAUUUUGGUUUUAUCCAAUUUUGUUAAAAUAAUAAAACAAAGUCCAAUUUUUUUUUUUUCGGACUUUCAAUUCCAUAUUAAAGAUAUGAUCUCCUUAUGUCAAUAAUUUUAUUAGCUACGGUUACUCAUAGUACUAUGACUAUUCUUUUGAAUUUAUUUAUUUAAAUUUUGUUAUGAACCAAAAUGAAUUCAAUGUGUACAGUACCUUAUAUUUUUCCCACGUACUGCUUUGAGCACAAUUUUAUGUGCUUAUUUCAUUUUAAUUGGUACUUGUUUUUUGAGAAAUCAUGGAUCCAAUGGCUAUUUUGGACUCAAUUCAAUUUCAUUGUAAUCUAAAUGAAUUAUACCUAGCGUACGUUUUAAUUGUUGUUGUCCCCAUGUAUGUACACUUGAGCACAAUUGAACGUGCUUAAUUCAUACUUACUGAUUUCAUACCCCGUGAGUGCAACCAACAUGUGUUGGUAUGUACUUGAUAUAGACACAAUUAUGUGUUUAGGUUCUUAUUUUAAUAGUCAUGCGAUUAUUAAAUAAAUAGAUAACAUACAAUUUUGACAUUACAUUUGUAGGUAAUGUUUAUGUGAAUUUUAAGACCUUCCCAUUUAAUUUAUUAAAUUAAAAUGUCUAAUAAUUUUAGNNNNNNNNNNNNNNNNNNNNNNNNNNNNNNNNNNNNNNNNNNNNNNNNNNNNAUUGUUCAUGCGAGCUGUUUUAGUCGGCCAAAAGGAAGACACAGUUUGGCCGAACAAUUGCAUACCUGUGAUGAUAAAUAUGUGGUAAUUAUUAAGUUUUUUUUCUCCAUGUGGGUAAUGGUUGGUGUCAAAGACGCACAUUAUCUGACAGGACUUAUUACCAAUAUUUGAUCGUUGCGUGAGAGUACCGUUUACAGUUAAUUCUUGCAAUCAAAGAUUGGGAAUUAAUGGUGUGCUUGGUAUCUUGUUUGGGUCUUAUUUAAUUUGCAUAUAAAGACUAUUGUGCAUGUCCAUAUGGUUAUUUGAUGACAUGCCUACUAAUGUUAUUGUAUGUUUAUUGUUCUUUUUUCGAUCCAGUUGCUGCUGCCACCGCUCCUAAUUUCACUGCUCAAACCAACUCUAUCUCUGUGCUAAGUGGGACUAACUUUAAGAGGCUAAAGAAAACUCCGGGAAAUUUUUUCCAAAACAAGAAAACAA
Molecule: long non-coding RNA, 2566 nt
Filed under: Trifolium pratense (red clover)
Lineage: Eukaryota; Viridiplantae; Streptophyta; Magnoliopsida; Fabales; Fabaceae
Description: long non-coding RNA (TPRA_LNC010587)
Source: RNAcentral